GAGCGGUAACGCGNGAGCAAUCCUGGCGACGAGCGGCGAACGGGUGAGUAAUGCUUCGGAAUCUACCCAGUAGUGGGGAAUAACCAGCCGAAAGGUUGGCUAAUACCGCAUACGUCCUACGGGAGAAAGCGGGGGAUCGUAAGACCUCGCGCUAUUGGAUGAGCCGAAGCCGGAUUAGCUAGUUGGUAGGGUAACGGCCUACCAAGGCGACGAUCCGUAGCUGGUAUGAGAGGACGACCAGCCACACUGGGACUGAGACACGGCCCAGACUACCUACGGGAGGCAGCAGUGGGGAAUAUUGGACAAUGGGGGAAACCCUGAUCCAGCGACGCCGCGUGUGUGAAGAAGGCCUGCGGGUUGUAAAGCACUUUUAGUGGGGAUGAAAAGCCUAGAGCUAAGACCGAUGGGGACUUGACCGAACCCACAGAAAAAGCACCGGCUAACUAUGUG
Molecule: ribosomal RNA, 450 nt
Filed under: uncultured bacterium
Lineage: Bacteria
Description: bacterial SSU rRNA
Rfam family: Bacterial small subunit ribosomal RNA
Source: RNAcentral